This 254-nucleotide ribosomal RNA is filed under the name uncultured bacterium. RNAcentral's name for it is "partial 16S ribosomal RNA". It matches the Rfam family "Bacterial small subunit ribosomal RNA", at positions 524 to 776 of the family's 1533-position model. The record is from RNAcentral.
GACGAACCGUGCGACCGUUAUUCGGAAUCACUGGGCUUAAAGCGCGUGUAGGCGGGAGGGCACGUCCGUUGCUGAAAUCCCCCGGCUCAACCGGGGAACGGGCGCGGAUACGACUCUCCUUGAGGGGCGUAGGGGGACCUGGAACUUCCGGUGGAGCGGUGAAAUGCGUUGAGAUCGGAAGGAACGCCCGUGGCGAAAGCGAGGUCCUGGACGACUACUGACGCUGAGACGCGAAAGCCAGGGGAGCGAACGGG